UUUUCUGCUUAUUUAUCUCCAUGGUGUCCUGAGGACUUCUUAAAAGAAUGAGAUCUGACUAACUUGUCCAAAGUCACACAAGAAACUGGUGGCAGCGCAGAGGAUUGAUGAUUUGUCAGCAUGACAAGUGGGUGGCCAUGAAGCUUUUCUGGAGCACCUCAAAUGUCACAGCAGCCCUUUGGCCUUGGGCCCCUGCCCUUCUUGCAGGGAGGGGUUGAAGCUGUGCUGGCCUCAGGCCCUUGUGGGUCUGGGUGUCCCUUGGCUGCCCAUGCAUGGGGCUGUGGCAGGCCAAAAACCCACUUGGGCAAGAUUCAAACAAACAUCCAGGCCAGCAGCUUCAAGUGCUCUCAUUCACAAGCGAUCAGUCAGAAAUCUCUCUGCUGGGUUUGGUGGCACUGACAUCAAAGGUACAGCAUUUUUCAUUGCAUGACCGCACUGACGUCACCACUGCAAAGCUGAUGGAGGAUGGAAUGAGCAGAUCCUGCCAGCUUUCUCUGCCUGGAUUUGGCAGCACGCAGAGGUUUUGUGAUGAGCUCUACUGGAGGGCUGAUCUACUACCAUAGGCUCCUGCAGAUGCUGCUGUGGUCCUUGUCUUGUCCUGAGAAUUUACUGAGCCUUGGAUGGGCUGAGGGAGGUUGUUUGUUGGCACCUCCACUGCAGUGUCAGUGGCAGUGUGCAGCAGAAGGACAUCUCAUCUGUGAGCCAUGCUGGAUUAGGAGGUGGGAGUCAGCACUUCUCUUCCAGCAGAUACCAUCCAACCUUGACCUCCGCCGUCCAGAUCUGCAGAUCAGUGCCCCAGAGCAAUGUUCCUCCUUGACUUUGAUAUUUCCAUCCAGAUGAUCAUUUUAGCUGGUAAAGAAUUUUCUUGACAUUUGAAGAAACAAAGGCCUAGCAAACCAAAAUAUAACUAGUGCCCAGCUGCCUCUUUAUCUGGCUGUGCUUUAUUUGCACAAGCCGAAGAACUUUGUGGUGCCAGGAGGGAUGCGAUAGAAGUUCUUUGUCUCAUAAAUUACUUUGGCCCAGUCUUCCCCCGGGAGAUAGGACUUGAGAGCAAGAGCUGGCAGCGUGGGUUCUGCUCCCAGCUUUGGCACUGACCUGCUGCGUGACCUUGGACAACUCACUUCACCUCCCCUGAGCUUCUGUUUCCCCUCCUCUCCUUUGUCUGCCUUGUUUAUUUGGACUGUCAACUCCUAGAGAAAGGAAUUCAGCCUCCCUGGCAGCUUGAAGAUUGCAUAGCGUGACAGGAGCCCAAUCGGACUCGCUUCUGGGAGGUACUACAGUAAAAAAGCUCACAAUGAUGACUGGAAACCAGCAUUUGCUAAACAAUUGUAUGGGAGUUUUUGCUUAUUAAGGGGCAUACAUGAACUAGCAGAAAAUCUCUGACAGUUCAGAGAGCUUGUCCAGGGACAGCAACUGUUUUUGUUCCUUUUCCAUGGCCACACUGGAGACCAUAUCUACCAGCCCCAUAAAUAUUGACAUCUUUUCCCCGUCCCAGCUGCACAGUGGGAGGAGUGGGAAGCAUCUGCCAAAGAAAGGGAAUGUUUGUUGGAGGUAAUGAAGAAGGCUUCUCUUGGAGUCCUCCCCCUUGCACACAUCUGGAUAGAUAACAGCUCUUGUGAGAAAGGUUGAAGGAGCCAGGGAGGCCUCCUGGGAAGGGCAGGGAAGCACUCCACUUUGGAGCUGGUGAGCACCAAGGGCAGAAAGGUGGGGAGAAGCUGUGGAGGCUAACACAGGCCCUGUCACCCAGAAGCCAGGGAUGGAACAGACAAAACCAAGGCGACCAAAAGCCUAUGGGGCAGAUCAUCUUUAGGUGGAACCACAAGAGACUUGAUUGCACAAUACACCUCUUUCAGGCACGUGCUGCAGCUUUGAAAUCCAUUUUACCCUCUGGAUGGUAUCAAAAGGUGUAGGGAAGAGCUUGCCAUUGCAUUUGUGGCUCUUGAGAAGACUCCAUGCUCACCCACUGCCUUCCACUCUGCCCAGAGUCGUCCUGGCAGUUACCCUGCUGUCCCUCAGCCAAGAGCAUGGCCUUCUCUUCCCGCUGAGUGACCCACAGCUGGUACACAAGGACAUCAUGAUAGGACAGGAAUCACAGCGUUUGUGCUACACGCCACUCCACAGAUAUAGCUAAGAGCAAAUUGUUUCUCUAACAUGCCAAGGAUGCCUUCAAAAAACCUCUUAUCCCACUACCCCUUCGGCAGUAGCCCUGCAGCUUGACAGACUCCACUGGAACGCUCAUCUGCUUUUAAAAUGUCUUGAAUGUACUGCAUGUAUUGGCCUGUCAUGGGUUUUCUCAAGCCCCAGCGAUACAGAGGGGUCUGCUGGGAGUGGUGUGGAAAGCAGCUCCUUAAGGGAUGCUUUCCAGUUGACAGGACUGGAGGGCAGGCACUAUCUGCUGUUAAGGGAGAAAGCCAAUCCAGUUGUUAAUCCAUCAACCAGAGGCCAAUGCAGAAUUGUUCCUCCCCGUGCUGCUUUCCAGUGCUUUGUCCAUUUAUGCCUGUGCUGGUGAAAGUCUUUCCCCUGCCUGCCUGCCCCCUCUGAAGCAUCCUUCUGGGAUGAGUUCUUGCUGCCCUCACAGUGCCUGGGAGUGCACAGAGGAUUUUUCUGUCUCCAAAUGUAACAGGUGGCAUAAAGAAGGCACAAAAAUAGGAAAGAUGAUCUGAAAGAAUAAACUCCACCUGGCCUUAAUUCCCUACUCCCCACUGCAAUAGGAGCUUUGGAAACUCAAGAGACAGAUGAGCACACAUGGAAUAGCGAUGCUCAGGUGUGGAACAAGCAGGAGUGAGGAUCUCCCUGUGCAUUGCCAGGGAUAGUGUUUGCAGAUCUGUGUUCUGCCACUGCAUCCAUCUUGCUGCACAGCCUGAGGCCAUCAUCACAUGAAACAGUGAAGGAGAGGCUGAGCCUGCACACCCACACCAAAAUGCUUUUGAUAUUUGGAGAUCUACAGGAGUGUGUCACUGUUCUGGCCAGCUUGCUGUUGUCUACCAUGGCUGUUGCAAGACUCAAAGGGAGAGGAAGUGUGGCUAAAGGAAAGCAGGAUAGCUCCUGCCUUUUCCAGAGGCUUCCCCUGUGGCUCUGGAGUCCUUCAGCUCCUCUAAUUUUCUUUUGGACUUCAGCUCCUUCCCAGUAAAACUGGCAAAAUCCAUGGGGGGUUCAUAUAUCAGCAGCAUGGGAUGUGCAACAAUUUCAUAAAUGAUGGAACAGUGGGAAAACCCAGAAAGAAGAAGUCAGAAUCUUCCAGUAUUGACAGGCUUUGCGACAGACUUUACAUUCUUCUAGUUUUUACAAGCAACCAGGGUGCCUCCAUCCAAAUGCUCUCCUCCUACCCGUAAAAAUAUUCUUUCAGAGAAAGUCUCAUUUUUCUUAGCCUUUUGGAUACCCUCAUUGCCAAAAUGACCCCACAGAAGUGAUAGCUCAUUUCCAGAAGCCUUCAAAAGGUGCAGUGACUGUGUGUUCAGGUACAUCUGUCUCAUGGUUGUCCUCGAGCAAAGUGUUCUGGUUUGCUCCACACCUUGUAUGCUGGUAUUGUCCUCACUGAUGGAGCCCUGGGUGCUCCUCCAAGGCUGGUGCUAGUAAUAUUAAUUAUUUUCUCCCCCUUCCACGCUCUGUGGUUCCUGGGGGGCCAACAACCCCAGCCUGGAUGGUUUUUAGCAGUGCUGUGUGAGGCACAGCCACAUUCCUCAGCUGUAAGUCUCUAGAAUCACCCACCAGCUCUCCAAAACAAGUUCAGAGCACGACUUGCAGCCACACAGAUGACGCGGCUCUCCAGGCGCAGAGGUAAAACCUACAAUAUUAGCAACACAGUGGAUAGGUGGUACCCACAUUCCACUGGCAUUUCUCCCUGCCAGUGUCCAGCUAUUGCAAAC
This is a long non-coding RNA of Melospiza melodia melodia, 3866 nucleotides long. RefSeq lists it as uncharacterized. The transcript is spliced from 5 exons. The record is from RefSeq and is a predicted model, not a curated record. Lineage: Eukaryota; Metazoa; Chordata; Aves; Passeriformes; Passerellidae.